RNAcentral lists this ribosomal RNA (237 nucleotides) under uncultured Streptococcus sp. RNAcentral's name for it is "partial 16S ribosomal RNA". It matches the Rfam family "Bacterial small subunit ribosomal RNA", at positions 1146 to 1382 of the family's 1533-position model. Lineage: Bacteria; Bacillati; Bacillota; Bacilli; Lactobacillales; Streptococcaceae. The record is from RNAcentral.
AGACUGCCGGUGAUAAACCGGACGGAAGGUGGGGAUGACGUCAAAUCAUCAUGCCCUUAUGACCUGGGCUACACACGUGCUACAAUGGUUGGUACAACGAGUUGCGAGUCGGUGACGGCGAGCUAAUCUCUUAAAGCCAAUCUCAGUUCGGAUUGUAGGCUGCAACUCGCCUACAUGAAGUCGGAAUCGCUAGUAAUCGCGGAUCAGCACGCCGCGGUGAAUACGUUCCCGGGCCUU